AGCAACAAAUGCCCUGCUUCCAGGAAAAGCCUCUAAGCAUCAGGUAACAUCAAAUCGUACCCCAAACCGACACAGGUGGUCAGGUAGAGAAUACCAAGGCGCUUGAGAGAACUCGGGUGAAGGAACUAGGCAAAAUGGUGCCGUAACUUCGGGAGAAGGCACGCUGACACGUAGGUGAAGUGAUUUACUCAUGGAGCUGAAGUCAGUCGAAGAUACCAGCUGGCUGCAACUGUUUAUUAAAAACACAGCACUGUGCAAACACGAAAGUGGACGUAUACGGUGUGACGCCUGCCCGGUGCCGGAAGGUUAAUUGAUGGGGUCAGCGCAAGCGAAGCUCCUGAUCGAAGCCCCGGUAAACGGCGGCCGUAACUAUAACGGUCCUAAGGUAGCGAAAUUCCUUGUCGGGUAAGUUCCGACCUGCACGAAUGGCGUAAUGAUGGCCAGGCUGUCUCCACCCGAGACUCAGUGAAAUUGAACUCGCUGUGAAGAUGCAGUGUACCCGCGGCAAGACGGAAAGACCCCGUGAACCUUUACUAUAGCUUGACACUGAACAUUGAGCCUUGAUGUGUAGGAUAGGUGGGAGGCUUUGAAGUGUGGACGCCAGUCUGCAUGGAGCCGACCUUGAAAUACCACCCUUUAAUGUUUGAUGUUCUAACGUGGACCCGUGAUCCGGGUUGCGGACAGUGUCUGGUGGGUAGUUUGACUGGGGCGGUCUCCUCCUAAAGAGUAACGGAGGAGCACGAAGGUUGGCUAAUCCUGGUCGGACAUCAGGAGGUUAGUGCAAUGGCAUAAGCCAGCUUGACUGCGAGCGUGACGGCGCGAGCAGGUGCGAAAGCAGGUCAUAGUGAUCCGGUGGUUCUGAAUGGAAGGGCCAUCGCUCAACGGAUAAAAGGUACUCCGGGGAUAACAGGCUGAUACCGCCCAAGAGUUCAUAUCGACGGCGGUGUUUGGCACCUCGAUGUCGGCUCAUCACAUCCUGGGGCUGAAGUAGGUCCCAAGGGUAUGGCUGUUCGCCAUUUAAAGUGGUACGCGAGCUGGGUUUAGAACGUCGUGAGACAGUUCGGUCCCUAUCUGCCGUGGGCGCUGGAGAACUGAGGGGGGCUGCUCCUAGUACGAGAGGACCGGAGUGGACGCAUCACUGGUGUUCGGGUUGUCAUGCCAAUGGCACUGCCCGGUAGCUAAAUGCGGAAGAGAUAAGUGCUGAAAGCAUCUAAGCACGAAACUUGCCCCGAGAUGAGUUCUCCCUGAGACUUAAAGUCUCCUGAAGGAACGUUGAAGACGACGACGUUGAUAGGCCGGGUGUGUAAGCGCAGCGAUGCGUUGAGCUAACCGGUACUAAUGAACCGUGAGGCUUAACCUU
This 1360-nucleotide ribosomal RNA is filed under the name Salmonella enterica. Its description in RNAcentral is "partial 23S ribosomal RNA". It matches the Rfam family "Bacterial large subunit ribosomal RNA", at positions 1589 to 2925 of the family's 2925-position model. RNAcentral also lists the same sequence under 3 other names. Lineage: Bacteria; Pseudomonadati; Pseudomonadota; Gammaproteobacteria; Enterobacterales; Enterobacteriaceae. The record is from RNAcentral.